UACAGAGGUCCCGAGCGUUGUUCGGAUUCAUUGGGCGUAAAGGGUGCGUAGGCGGCGGGGCAAGUCUGAUGUGAAAUCCCGGGGCUCAACCCCGGAACUGCAUUGGAUACUGCCUUGCUCGAGUACUGGAGAGGGAACUGGAAUUUACGGUGUAGCAGUGAAAUGCGUAGAGAUCGUAAGGAAGGCCAGUGGCGAAGGCGAGUUCCUGGACAGUUACUGACGCUGAGGCACGAAGGCCAGGGGAGCAAACAGG
This 253-nucleotide ribosomal RNA is filed under the name uncultured bacterium. RNAcentral describes it as "partial 16S ribosomal RNA". It matches the Rfam family "Bacterial small subunit ribosomal RNA", at positions 524 to 776 of the family's 1533-position model. The record is from RNAcentral.